Astatotilapia calliptera (eastern happy) is the source of this 1148-nucleotide long non-coding RNA. The record is from Ensembl. NCBI's taxonomy places the organism in Eukaryota, Metazoa, Chordata, Actinopteri, Cichliformes, Cichlidae.
CCCACCAGGAUCAACUACCAUUUCAAUGCAAAUUCCCUUUUGAGUGAAGUCAUUACUGUAUACUUAUGAAAUGUAAUGAUGAGUUAAUGUACAGGAUAGUUACACCCACAUGUACAUUCCAUGCAUUAACUCACAGCUUGGGUUUAAGAGGUAGAUGUAGCUGAUCUGUACCAAAGAGGCGCAGCUGAAGUACCGAAGAGUUGCCGAAUACACAAUUGGCCGUAUGGGAGACCAUCCACUUUCACACUCCAAUGCAGAAAACUUCUCUGGGGGAAGACCUAUCGAACAACAAAAGGACUGCCUCUCCCUCCGCUUGUGGAAACUACUUGUGAUCGCAGGGGGGUAGAGAAGUCCAUUAAGACGCUCCUCGUCAGCACACUACCAAGGCAUUCAUCACAGCAGACACCACCACACAUUUCAGCGCACAACAGGAGGGGUGACCACGGUACAAAACACUUUACACGGCUUGCCUGAAAAGAGGAAGAGAGAGCUGUGCGAGAAGUUGUUCGACAACAGAUGUUUCUGGAAAGUACAAAAACCAAAUACUGAGUGUUACAGAAAUACCUCUACCCAGUAUACAAACCAAAGCCCCGCUUUAAACUUGUGACGCUAGAAGUCUGCACGCCCUUGUCCCACCCUCUCAGCACUGGAUCGGCAUCGGGGCUGGUCACUGCGCUUCUACACUGCCCUGCGUUUCUGGCUCCCUCUGGCGUACACACUGGCCGACAGCUCCUGAUGCUUCCUGCUCUCUUGGCCCCCUCUGCUCCUCCCCUCCACGCCCCUCUGGUCCUGUCCUGCCUGGCUCCACACUGGUCCUCCCACGCCCUCUGGUCCUGUCCUGCCUGGCUGGCUCCUCUGUGGUCCUCCCCGUGUCCCGCGACCUCGCUCCAAGCCGUCCUUCGAUCUUCAUCUAAUAACUAAGUCCAUAAAUCUGAACUUGAUAUUGCUUGAGCUACUACUAGAGCUCUAAGAUAAGCUUCCAUUCUUCAGCAUUACUUGACUUAUGCUAUCUUCUUUCUUUGAAUGCAGAAUUGAUAGCUUGAAACUUCAAGUCUAAUGACUGAUGGAAACUGAGCGAAAAUGUCGAUUAAAAAAAAUUAAAUAAAAAACUUCGCAUUGCAAAAUGCUUCCCCGAUCAAUGGGAUAAG